RNAcentral lists this long non-coding RNA (1222 nucleotides) under Callithrix jacchus (white-tufted-ear marmoset). RNAcentral's name for it is "lncRNA (ENSCJAG00000073663.1)". The record is from RNAcentral. Lineage: Eukaryota; Metazoa; Chordata; Mammalia; Primates; Cebidae.
AUCUCACAAUUUUUAAUAUAAAUAAUCAACGUAUUUAUAUUCAGCAGUGUGCUGGAGCUGGAUUGAACUAGUUAAAGAAAGUUGAUUGUAAACAUUUUGGAGGAUCACACACUUACCAACAUAUCACAGGUUAUAUGGGAAUUGUAGUGGUGCAAUGGUGAAUGUUUCACAACUGGCUCAUUUAAAGAUAAAAUUUCUGAUUUAUAGUGAUUGCCAACUCCCAUGUAGCAUGUACUCCCACCAGGUCUAUUUCAACAUGGAGCUGGGAAAGCAGCACACAAUCCACGCUUGCAACGCUGUAUGAGUUGGCUCCCACACACUAUUAAAACAUACCAAUCCAAAACCUUUCUCUCUGACUCUGUAAUAGGUUUUAGUGCCUACAUGAUUGAUAUGGUUUGGAUCUGUGUCCCCACCAAAUAUCAUGUGAAGUUGUAGUCCGCAGUGUUGGAGGUGAGGCCUGGUGGGAAGUGGUUAAAUCGUGCGGGCAGAUUUCUCAUGUAUUGUUUAGCACCUUCCUCUUGGUGCUUCUCUUUUGAUGAUCAGUGAGUUACCAUGAGAUCUGGUGGUUUAAAAGUAUGUACCACUUCUCCCCUCAUUCUCUCUUGCUCCUGCUCCUGUCACGUGAGAUGUCUCAGUCCUGCUUUGUCUUCCAUCCUGAUUGGAAGCUUCCUGAGGCCUCCCCAGAAGCAGAAACCACUAUGCUUCCUGCAGAGCCUGCAGAACUAUUUUUAAUGCAUAUUAAAAGCAUGUGUGCUUAAGAAUGAGGCCUCACAUACAUGAAGUUAUCCAUCUCCAGACCUUUAAGAACUUCAAAGCCAGAAAGUGUAUACAUCCUGGGACGCUGAAAACUUUGCACCAUUAGUAUUUUAUUGUAAUUAUUAUUUCUUCAAAUGAUCUAGCCACAUGAUAAUUAUCCUGCCCUUAUCCAACUGUGAAUUAAAAUUCGCAGUUGAAUUCAAAUAAUCAUAUUCUAUAUAAUUCUUUCCUGCUACUCCAUAAGAGCAGUACAUGGAAAAUUUCAUUCAUUCAUCUACUGUUGUUUUUCCUAUGUAUGUGCCAUAUAUUUAUGUUAUAUACUUUAAGGAAGAAAGUAAUGAUUCUUUGCUCUGAGCUGGGUAAUCAGUAAAAAUAAUAUGAUGACAAGGCAUUACUUAUAUAAUAAAAUUGUAAUUCAGAUAUUACCACAUAUUUCUACUUAGUUUUCUCUGUGGAGGGUAUUAAC